This 429-nucleotide ribosomal RNA is filed under the name Chloroflexota bacterium. RNAcentral describes it as "Chloroflexi bacterium partial 16S ribosomal RNA". It matches the Rfam family "Bacterial small subunit ribosomal RNA", at positions 355 to 776 of the family's 1533-position model. The record is from RNAcentral. Lineage: Bacteria; Bacillati; Chloroflexota.
UGGGGUAUAUUGCACAAUGGGCGCAAGCCUGAUGCAGCCAUGCCGCGUGUAUGAAGAAGGCCUUCGGGUUGUAAAGCACUUUCAGCGGGGAGGAAGGCGGUGAGGUUAAUAACCUCAUCGAUUGACGUUACCCGCAGAAGACCCACCGGCUAACUCCGUGCCAGCAGCUGCGGUUAUACGGAGGGUGCAAGCGUUAAUCGGAAUUACUGGGCGUAAAGUGCACGCAGGCGGUCUGUCAAGUCGGAUGUGAAAUCCCCGGGCUCAAACUGGGAACUGCAGUCGAGACUGGCAGGGUAGAGUAUUGUAGAGGGGGGUAGAGUUCCAGGUGUGGCGGUGAGAUGCGUAGAGAUCUGGAGGAAAACAGGUGGGGAGGGCGGCCGCCUGGACAAAGACUGACGAUAAGGUGCGAAAGCGUGGGGAGCAAACAGG